Molecule: ribosomal RNA, 108 nt
Filed under: Callithrix jacchus (white-tufted-ear marmoset)
Lineage: Eukaryota; Metazoa; Chordata; Mammalia; Primates; Cebidae
Source: RNAcentral
GUCUACUGCCAUACCACCCUGAAUGCGCCCGAUCUCAUCUGAUCUCAGAAGCUAAGCAGGGUUGGGCCUAGCUAGUACUUGGAUGGGAGAAUUAAAUUCUUGUGAAUG